RNAcentral lists this ribosomal RNA (497 nucleotides) under uncultured bacterium. RNAcentral's name for it is "partial 16S ribosomal RNA". It matches the Rfam family "Bacterial small subunit ribosomal RNA", at positions 28 to 507 of the family's 1533-position model. The record is from RNAcentral.
GAUGAACGCUGGCGGCGUGCCUAAUACAUGCAAGUCGAGCGAACAGACGAGGAGCUUGCUCCUCUGACGUUAGCGGCGGACGGGUGAGUAACACGUGGAUAACCUACCUAUAAGACUGGGAUAACUUCGGGAAACCGGAGCUAAUACCGGAUAAUAUAUUGAACCGCAUGGUUCAAUAGUGAAAGACGGUUUUGCUGUCACUUAUUGAUGGAUCCGCGCCGCAUUAGCUAGUUGGUAAGGUAACGGCUUACCAAGGCAACGAUGCGUAGCCGACCUGAGAGGGUGAUCGGCCACCCUGGAACUGAACCACCGUCCAGACUCCUACGGGACGCAGCAGUAGGGAAUCUUCCGCAAUGGUCGAAAGCCUUACGGAACAACGCCGCGUGAGUGAUGAAGGUCUUCCGAUCGUAAAACUCUGUUAUUAGUGAAGAACAAAUGUGUAAGUAACUAUGCACUUCUUGACGGUACCUAAUCAGAAAGCCACGGCUAACUACGUG